Molecule: long non-coding RNA, 464 nt
Organism: Nomascus leucogenys (northern white-cheeked gibbon)
Lineage: Eukaryota; Metazoa; Chordata; Mammalia; Primates; Hylobatidae
Exons: 3
Source: RefSeq, a predicted model, not a curated record
GGGAUUACAGGCGUGAGUCACUGCGCCCGGCUGAGAUUCUUUUGCUAUUAUUCUAUGAAGCCCUCGGCACGAUGCUUGACACACACUAGGUGCCUGAUAAGUGGAGCUUCUAUUGCUGUUCCCCUUAGCAUGAUGCCCCUUGGUGCUGGCACAUAGUAGGUGCCUAAUAAAUGGAGCUUCUGUUGCCGUUCCCCUUGUCAUGGUGCCUGGCACAUAGUAGGUGCUUAAUAAAUGGAGCUUCUAGCUCUGUUGCUGUUCCCCUUGCCAUGGUGCCUGGCACAUAGUAGGUGUUCAGUAAAUAGAUGCUUUACUAUUAUUUUGUGAAGCCCUUGGUGUUGGCACAUAGUAGGUACUUAAUAAAUGGAGCUUCUGGUGCCAUUCCCCUUGGCAUGGUGCCUGGCACAUAGAUGUUCAACAAAUAGAUGCUUUUACUAUUUUGUGAAACCCUUGGUGCUGGCACAUAG